AAGGGAGUGGCGGAAUUGGUAGACGCUACAAGUGAAAACGGAGCAGGAAACCUUAAGUUAAACCAGGAAAACUGCGAAAUACUCCGAUACAGGUUCGAGUCCUGUCUCCCUUA
This 113-nucleotide transfer RNA is filed under the name Elizabethkingia anophelis. Its description in RNAcentral is "tRNA-OTHER". It matches the Rfam family "tRNA". From Rfam's summary of the family: Transfer RNA (tRNA) molecules are approximately 80 nucleotides in length. Their secondary structure includes four short double-helical elements and three loops (D, anti-codon, and T loops). The record is from RNAcentral. Lineage: Bacteria; Pseudomonadati; Bacteroidota; Flavobacteriia; Flavobacteriales; Weeksellaceae.